Molecule: transfer RNA, 71 nt
Filed under: Hydropsyche pellucidula
Lineage: Eukaryota; Metazoa; Arthropoda; Insecta; Trichoptera; Hydropsychidae
Description: tRNA-Trp
Source: RNAcentral
AAGAUUUUAAGUUAAAAUUUAAACUAUUAAUUUUCAAAAUUAAUUAUAAAGAUUAAUUUCUUUAAGUCUUA